GACGAACGCUGGCGGCGUGCUUAACACAUGCAAGUCGAACGGAAAGGCCCUGCUUUCGUGGGGUGCUCGAGUGGCGAACGGGUGAGUAACACGUGAGUAACCUGCCCUUGACUUUGGGAUAACUUCAGGAAACUGGGGUUAAUACCGUAUAGGAUCCCCUGUUGCAUGGUGGGGGUUGGAAAUUUUCGGCGGUUGGGGAUGGACUCGCGGCUUAUCAGUUUGUUGGUGGGGUAGUGGCUUACCAAGGGUUUGACGGGUAGCCGGCCUGAGAGGGUGACCGGCCACAUUGGGACUGAGAUACGGCCCAGACUCGUACGGGAGGCAGCAGUGGGGAAUAUUGCACAAUGGGCGGAAGCCUGAUGCAGCAACGCCGCGUGCGGGAUGACGGCCUUCGGGUUGUAAACCGCUUUCGCCUGUGACGAAGCGUGAGUGACGGUAAUGGGUAAAGAAGCACCGGCUAACUACGUG
This 468-nucleotide ribosomal RNA is filed under the name uncultured bacterium. RNAcentral describes it as "partial 16S ribosomal RNA". It matches the Rfam family "Bacterial small subunit ribosomal RNA", at positions 28 to 507 of the family's 1533-position model. The record is from RNAcentral.